CCUGACAAAGCUGGUGCCGUCUGGAUGGGU
Molecule: non-coding RNA, 30 nt
Filed under: Homo sapiens (human)
Lineage: Eukaryota; Metazoa; Chordata; Mammalia; Primates; Hominidae
Source: RNAcentral